UCAGCUAGUUGGUAGGGUAAUAGCCUACCAAGGCUACGACGGAUAGCUGGUCUGAGAGGACGAUCAGCCACACUGGGACUGAGACACGGCCCAGACUCCUACGGGAGGCUGCAGCAGGGAAUAUUGCGCAAUGAGCGAAAGCUUGACGCAGCGACACCGCGUGUGGGAUGACGGAUCUAGGUUUGUAAACCACUUUCAGGAGGGAAGAAAAUGACGGUACCUCCACAAGAAGCCCCGGCCAACUACGUGCCAGCAGCCGCGGUAAUACGUAGGGGGCGAGCGUUGUCCGGAUUUAUUGGGCGUAAAGAGCUCGUAGGCGGUUCAACAAGUCGGUCGUGAAAGUUCAGGGCUCAACCCUGAAAUGUCGAUCGAUACUGUUGUGACUAGGAUACGGUAGAGGUGAGUGGAAUUCCGAGUGUAGCGGUGAAAUGCGUAGAUAUUCGGAGGAACACCAAUUGCGAAGGCAGCUCACUGGGCCGCUAUCGACGCUGAGGAGCGAAAGCUAGGGGAGCAAACAGGAUUAGAUACCCUGGUAGUCCUAGCUGUAAACGAUGGAUACUAGACGUAGGAAUUGGAUUAACGAUUUCUGUGUCGUAGCUAACGCGUUAAGUAUCCCGCCUGGGGAGUACGGUCGCAAGACUAAAACUCAAAGGAAUUGACGGGACCCCGCACAAGCGGCGGAGCAUGCGGCUUAAUUCGAUGAUACCCGUAGAACCUUACCUGGACUUGACAUAUAGGGAAAAGUUAUAGAAAUAUAAUGUGCAUUAGCGCCCUAUACAGGUGGUGCAUGGCUGUCGUCAGCUCGUGUCGUGAGAUGUUGGGUUAAGUCCCGCAACG
Molecule: ribosomal RNA, 837 nt
Filed under: marine metagenome
Description: bacterial SSU rRNA
Rfam family: Bacterial small subunit ribosomal RNA
Source: RNAcentral